UACGAAGGGGGCUAGCGUUGUUCGGAAUUACUGGGCGUAAAGCGCGCGCAGGCGGCCUUGCAAGUCAGUGGUGAAAUCCCAGAGCUUAACUCCGGAAUUGCCAUUGAGACUGCGAGGCUUCGAGUUCGGGAGAGGUGAGUGGAAUUCCCAGUGUAGAGGUGAAAUGCGUAGAUAUUGGGAAGAACACCGGUGGCGAAGGCGGCUCACUGGCCCGUUACUGACGCUCAGGCGCGACAGCGUGGGGAUCAAACAGG
This 254-nucleotide ribosomal RNA is filed under the name uncultured bacterium. RNAcentral describes it as "partial 16S ribosomal RNA". It matches the Rfam family "Bacterial small subunit ribosomal RNA", at positions 524 to 776 of the family's 1533-position model. The record is from RNAcentral.